RNAcentral lists this ribosomal RNA (484 nucleotides) under uncultured bacterium. RNAcentral's name for it is "partial 16S ribosomal RNA". It matches the Rfam family "Bacterial small subunit ribosomal RNA", at positions 30 to 507 of the family's 1533-position model. The record is from RNAcentral.
AUUGAACGCUGGCGGCAGGCCUAACACAUGCAAGUCGAGCGGAUGAAGGGAGCUUGCUCCUGGAUUCAGCGGCGGACGGGUGAGUAAUGCCUAGGAAUCUGCCUGGUAGUGGGGGAUAACGUCCGGAAACGGGCGCUAAUACCGCCUACGUCCUGAGGGAGAAAGUGGGGGAUCUUCGGAACUCACGCUAUCAGAUGAGCCUAGGUCGGAUUAGCUAGUUGGUGGGGUAAAGGCCUACCAAGGCGACGAUCCGUAACUGGUCUGAGAGGAUGAUCGGUCACACUGGAGCUGAGACACGGUCCAGACUCCUACGGGAGGCAGCAGUGGGGAAUAUUGGACAAUGGGCGAAAGCCUGAUCCAGCCAUGCCGCGUGUGUGAAAAAGGUCUUCGGAGUGGAAAGCACGUUAAGUUGGGAGGAAGGGCAGUAAGUUAAUACCUUGCUGUUUUGACGUUACCAACAGAAUAAGCACCGGCUAACUUCGUG